Ipomoea triloba (trilobed morning glory) is the source of this 458-nucleotide long non-coding RNA. RefSeq lists it as uncharacterized. The transcript has 2 exons. The record is from RefSeq and is a predicted model, not a curated record. NCBI's taxonomy places the organism in Eukaryota, Viridiplantae, Streptophyta, Magnoliopsida, Solanales, Convolvulaceae.
GGCGUCUAUCACUGAUUCGCUAGCGCGCUGUGAAGUUGUCCCUCCCACCUGGCACCUAUCGUUCUGGCCCCCGCGCUUCAUCCACCACUGCCUCAACUACCCUGCGAGGGUUCUGUUAGUGCCCAUGACGCAUGCCAAAGUCUCCUUAGCACCCACGGGAUGACUAUUAUACGGGAACGCGAGGCUCUUCUUCAGGCUUCCUUCAAGACCGCAACAAUGAAGGACUCACCACACCACUCGUCGGUGUUGUCUCCCCCACUUUGGAGAACUUGCACCUCCUGAAGACUAUGGACAAUGUCGGCGAGAAGGUCAUGGGCGUACCUGUUACUACCGAGCCCUCAUCAACUAUUGCCCCAGACUUGAAUGUGUAGAGCUAUGUUGCUUGGUUUAUUUUCUAUUAUUCUUAUGUAUUCCAACUUCCUCGAAUGCGAGAAUUAAAUUUAUUUUCAUGAUUCAUA